CCUUUUUCAAGGAGAGAAUUUAAUUUCUUGAGCACUACUUGGUCUUAGCACCUUACCACAUUCUCUUACGACAGCUACACUAAUUAGAUGCUGUUAUUCUCUCCGUUUUGCAGAUGAAAAAACUGCAAGUAGCCUCCUUGGGUACUCAGGGUAAUGCUGCUAAAAAUGGUAGAGUCAGGACUCAAACCCAGGCAGUUAAACUCCAGAACCUGUGCUCCCACCUACCGAGGAGUGCAUGCGUGACCCAGAAGAGACCAGUCACAACUGCUCAUAUCCAGCCACAGGGGUGAGUCCAAGGACAGACACAAGGCAUGGCAGAGUCCUUCCCUGAGACUGUGCUUCUCCAUGAGUCUGACGUGUUAUCUUCUGGCCUCCUCUGUUGCUGCUUCAUAGCUUCGAAUCUGCUUUCCCUGUUCCUUGGAUUCUGCGUUCAAUCUUCCCAUCACCACAAGUUGCAUCUUCUCCCAAAGAGGCAGGGGUCUGUAAGGGUGCAAGUCCAGAUCUCUGGUCACCAAGGAAGCAGCUUUUCAAGGAUGUGCAGACCAAGGGAAGAGGCAGGAGUGGCUGCCUAAGAAAGAAUGCCCUCGAGCCACUGUCCCCAGGGCCAGUUGCACCCAUAUUCUUCAUUUGCAGUUUAGGAUUUUCUCCCCUUUUUGGCAUAAGUUAACUUGAAUAGAGUUAGUUACUUGCGAGUGAAAGAACUUUAAUACAGAAAUGAUUCCAGGAUUUAGGUUGGAAGACCCAUUAGUGAGGCAGCGUUUGCAAGUGACAAUUAGCUUAAGCAUAAAAAAUAAAGGAUUGGCUUGAGGAACAAAAAUGUAUUUUACGUUCCCCUGGAUUUGAGCACUCAAAUGAUAUCUUUGGGAUCCCACGGAAGGCAUUCAGAAAAUGCCAGCGCCAAAUAUGCCACUGUCAUGUGCUGAUGACUUUGAAGCGAGGGCACUUAGGGAACAGUGAUGCCGGCAGACACUUUCUCUGAGCCCCUUAUCUGCCUGAAGACCGAUCCUCCAAAAGGAGCUCAAUUGUCAUGAAUCCCCUCCUGCGAAUCUUCUCAACUGGGGAAGAUUAACUCGUUUCGCAGGAAAGAAGAGGAGAGGUUGGCACCAGCCCAGGCAGAUUGUUACCUCUGUUCUUGAGACAAUAUUUGUUACUGGAGAGACUUGUAUCUACACAACAAGACAGCCUUUAUUCAGCACACAUUUCUUCCCCUCACGCUCCCAUAACCUGUAUCUCCACCACCCCCAGAAGCCCUAAGCCCCUAUUCCUUUCUGUAGCUCAGGGUACUGCAUAAGCUUCAAUCACCUGGCCCUGCUUCAAGGUUUAUUCUUCAGGACUCCCGUGCAUGUAUACAUAAUUAAAUGUCGCUUUUCUCCUGUUA
Molecule: long non-coding RNA, 1378 nt
Organism: Sapajus apella (tufted capuchin)
Lineage: Eukaryota; Metazoa; Chordata; Mammalia; Primates; Cebidae
Exons: 2
Source: RefSeq, a predicted model, not a curated record